GACGAACGCUGGCGGCGUGCUUAACACAUGCAAGUCGAACGGUGAAGCGCCUUCCUUUUUGGUGGGUGUGGAUGAGUGGCGAACGGGUGAGUAACACGUGAGUAACCUGCCCCCUUCUUCUGGAUAACCGCAUGAAAGUGUGGCUAAUACGGGAUAUUCUGGGUCUGUCGCAUGAUGGGUCUGGGAAAGAUAUUGUUUCGGUGGGGGAUGGGCUCGCGGCCUAUCAGCUUGUUGGUGGGGUGAUGGCCUACCAAGGCGGUGACGGGUAGCCGGCCUGAGAGGGUGGACGGUCACACUGGGACGGAGACACGGCCCAGACUCCGACGGGAGGCAGCAGUGGGGAAUAUUGCACAAUGGGCGCAAGCCUGAUGCAGCGACGCCGCGGGAGGGAUGGAGGCCUGCGGGUUGUGAACCUCUUUCGCCAGUGAAGCAGGCCUGCCUCGUUUGUGGGUGGGUUGACGGUAGCUGGAUAAGAAGCGCCGGCUAACUACGUG
This 494-nucleotide ribosomal RNA is filed under the name uncultured bacterium. Its description in RNAcentral is "partial 16S ribosomal RNA". It matches the Rfam family "Bacterial small subunit ribosomal RNA", at positions 28 to 507 of the family's 1533-position model. The record is from RNAcentral.